RNAcentral lists this ribosomal RNA (253 nucleotides) under uncultured bacterium. Its description in RNAcentral is "partial 16S ribosomal RNA". It matches the Rfam family "Bacterial small subunit ribosomal RNA", at positions 524 to 776 of the family's 1533-position model. The record is from RNAcentral.
GACAGAGGUCCCGAGCGUUAGGCGGAAUCACUGGGCUUAAAGCGUGUGUAGGCGGAUGCCUAAGUACCUUGUGAAAUCCCACGGCUUAACCGUGGAAUUGCUUGGUAUACUGGGUGUCUUGAGCCAGCUAGGGGCAACCGGAACAAAUGGUGGAGCGGUGAAAUGCGUAGAUAUCAUUUGGAACGCCAAUGGUGAAAACAGGUUGCUGGGGCUGUGCUGACGCUGAGACACGAAAGCCAGGGGAGCAAACAGG